UCCUUUCUGGAUAUUCCUGUAUACCUGAGUCCUGCUGAAGGUUUGCUGGAAAUCUGCGUUUGAAUCAUGAAAUGCACUUUUCAAUGGACGCAGCAUUCUGGAUGAGUCACAGCGAGGGACAGGAGGAGCUGAUGAGCAGCCUGCUGGCACACACAGGGCAGGCACACACAGAUCCCACCCCAGUGACACCCAAGGGAUGCGGUUCCCAGCUGGCAGAGAGGGAAACGCAGGAGCUCAAAGCCCUCUGCAAGGGCUGAGCAUCCUUUGCUGACUGUGGGAGCUGAGGGCCUUUUGCAGAUUGCUCCUUCGGGCCCUUUUUAGUUUGGGAUUUCCCUCACAUGCGCUCCAACUGCAUCCUUCUGAAGGGGCUGAGAGCCCUGCAAGGCAUGGGAUGCCAGCAGGUAAUGAACCCUGCUGCUGCUUACACACACACACACGCUCUGUUUUCAGACAGGAAGUGGUUGGUGAUAUAUCUCUCUGCAGCACUGGGUGUUCUGCUGUGUCCCAGCUCCCUGCCACCUCCCCACGUGUCUGCCCACUGCUUUGGCACCAACACUGUGCAGAGAGGGAGGGGACAAUGUGUGGGGGACGGCGAGGGGCUGGGCAGAAAUGAGAUAACACGGGGAUUGAUCUGUCCAAAGGUUAAGGAGCUGAACUUAUUUAACUCCUGUUAGCUUAUUUAUUGUCCCUGAGUUAUAUUUGUGACUACGACUGAGCAGAUUACCGCAGGAUUGCUGGGUAGAUUUAGAAACCCGGGGUGCUUUUCUAGCUCUGUGCAUGUGUUUGUGUGCGUGCGCUGCUGGCUGUGAGCAUUCCCCUUCCCCACUGCCAUCAGGGAUGAAUAAACAGGGACACUUACUGCAGUAAAAACAUAUAGAUAUAUAUAAAACCCUCCCACUGGUGGUAAACACAUGCGUCAUGCGUGAUUGCUGGAAGCUGGAGCUGGUAAGCACUGGAUGGGGAUGAGUAAUGUUUGUUAUGGCCCUGUGACUGCCAGGCACUCGGUAGCAGGAGCAGCACAGCAGUGGCAUAGGGCCCAGGAGAGAGACCAAAGUCUCAUCCAAGCUUGGCUGCAGGCUCUUGGCCUGAUCUCUAUGGCCUCCCCACCUCCCCUGGAGCCCCGUGGCUGUAUGGGGCUCACUGCAGGAGUUGGAGGAGUGGGAUGGGUGUCUCCGAGGGGGGCAAGGUGUGUUGCUCAGAUGGUUGGGUGAACGUCUGCUGUUCCAUCAGUUUCUUUUCUACCUCUGUAAAGCAGCCACAAAAAACAAUGACUAAUUUCUCUGUGGAAUAUUCAUCUUUAAAAAGCCAGACCUGGGGCUUUGGUGCCUGUGGAGCCUUCCAGCUCCUCAGGUUGGAAAAAUUUAUUCUCUGAAAGAAUGGUAAUGUUUUGGAACUGCCCAGGGAGUGUUGGAGUCCUCAUCCCUGGAGGUGUUCCAGAGCCAUGGAGAUGUGGCACUGAGUUUUGAGAGUGCCUGGCUUGUAGACCCAGCUGGGAAAGGAUCUAAAUGGGGAGCACAUGGAGAGCUGUCCUGGAUGAGGUCAAGCAUAGCAGGUAGUGUGGGAUGGGUUUUGGAGCUUCCCAUAGGAGUUGGACUUGGUGAUUCCUAUGGGUCCCUUCCAACUUGGGGUACUGUAUGGCAAUUCAGAGGUGUGGGGUCACUCAUAGACCUGCUGAUGUCCCACAUGAACCCCCAGUGAUUGCUACAAUGGGUCAGAAAGAUCUGAGAAAGGUUCUGAAGAUAUCCAGGAGGAUGUCAAGGCGACGGCUUAGAAGAUGUGGCUGUGAGACAUGAGAUCAGCAGGGAUGGUGCCCAUCCAUUCACCCAUCAUCUCUCCAUCCAUCACAGGUUGGUGGGAUGAGGAGGCCAAUAGGAAAGCAAUGAAAGAGGAAGAGCUGGUGUAUGGAAAGUGCUUGUGCCCAUGUUAAAAACAAAAAAAACCAACAAUAUGUAUAAGGACAAAAGUGAGAUUGCACAUCUGGAUGAGUAUGAACACAGCCAUCAUCGUAAGUCAGGAGUAGAGCCAUGGAGUGGUGCUGCCACCAGGAAUCAGGGCAGGUCCCUCCCAGGUCUGAUCACACAUGGCAUUGAGUGCUGGUCCAGCGUUGGCCCUGAAAUACGUAAUAGCAGUCAGAUGGAAAUAUCCUCCAGCAUAAAGGCAGCAGUGUGUGGGGGCUCAGCUCAAAGGAAAGCCCAGACAGCAGUGCUGGAGCCAUGCAUGUGGCUCCUGGAACGUCAGCUCAUCUCCUCCAGCAGGUCUGCUGCAAACACAUGGGGACAGCUAUUGCGUGUACAGCACCAGUCUCUGGGCGCUUAUGUUAUUUGUCGGGCAGAGGGAUAAUUGACAGGUGGCUGUCUGGAAGAGAUGAAGCCCUCCAGCAAAACUCUGCAGCUCCGGCAAGAUGCGAGCGACAGAGAAAUGGCUCCAGAGGUGAUAGACUUGUUACAUCUAACACCGCCGGAGAUGGAAGGGGAAGCAGGGUUGAAUCGCAGUUCAGAACAAUCGUACCUAACUGCUGCACUAAAUAAAAGCCAUGAUUUCAUACUGGUGUCUGCGGCUGCCUCAGACUGAGCCGGGAUUAACGAGCGUGUUGUUGCCUUUGGAAGGGAAGUGCAUGCCUGAGGACUUCGGGUUCCUUUUUUAAGGGGAGCAUCACCCAGGAGGAGGGCAGAGAUACAGGGUGGGUGUGCCCCAAAGCAGUGCUGGUAUUUACUCUCCAGCUAAUAAACCUUGCUGGGAGGAGGACAGUGUUGGUGGGAUGGGCUGGUGCCCGGGUACCCCACCAGCUGCAGGUAUUCAUCUUGCCUUGUUUUCCUUUUCUUUUUGCCCUUUUUCUAACUGCUCUGCCUGGGACUUUGAUGCCUGCAAGCCUCCUCCAGGCCUGGCCCUCGUGCUCCUCAAUGAGUCUGCACCUAUUUUGAUGAUGCAUAGUGUUAUCUGCUCCCGACUUAUAAACAAAAACAGAAGCUUAACCAUUAACCCCCUCCAAUGCAGCACCCCGACCUAUCGCUCUCUGAGAACCAACUUCUCAUAGGGCUGAUUUCUGCCUGCUUCUUUAUCGACCUCAAGCAUUUUUUUGUACUGUUUACUGGAGUUUGCCCCCCGCCAUGUUUAUGAUGUAGCACUACAGAGGCUCUCGCCCUGCCGUGCUGCACGCUGUGGUGGUUCGGGGCUGAGCUGGGACAGGCAGAGCUGAAGCCCAUUGGCUCCAUCCCUCUGCUCUCCCACCUCCGUGCAGCAAAUCAAAGUGCAACAAAUGGCUUUGCAUCAUUUCUUUGAGGAGCCCUGGGCCUUGUAUGUUAUCUUGAGGGCAGAGUAUAUGCUCCAAUAAAAGAAGGCUUUAUUACCGACUGCAACGGAGCCAAGGAUUCAAACACGUAUUGCCUUUGCCCAGGAUUCCUGCCUGUAUCCAGUGCUCUCUGAUGUGGGGCUGCUACCUGUGCCACCUACCUGCGCUGUGACUUGGCUUCCCAUCCUACAGAAGGGGAGCCUUCUCAGUUUCUCGGGUGCAAAACCCAAGCUUUGGACAACGGCAGAAGCAGUCAAUUAUGUUCUCACUCUGUCUGCUUUGGAAGUCCUGGAGUGUGCUGGUGUGACCACAGCCGUAGGAGCGGGGCGGUUCGGGAUAAAUCAGAAACAAAAGGGCCAUUAUCCAUAUGGGACCCCAUGAGCGCACCGCAUACCCCAGCAAUCCCGAGCACUCUGUGUACGGUUCUCGCUUGGUUUUAACUCAAUUUCUUUGAGAUGCAAAUUAGAGGGAUUAUAUUCAGAGGCUACAUCAGAAAGUCUUUAAUCCAAAUGGGCUAUAAGAUUUAUUUGGAAGAGCCAAAUGUCUUGUCUGGGACAGAAGCAACCGAGCUGAACUGAAACAGAUGGACAUAAAGGAAAUUAAGCAACUCUAAUGGUCUUAUCCAGAGUUUCAAAGUAUUUGGUCUUCGGAAAGCUCCAGCUCCUGGAAGCACGUGAUGAGACGGGGAGCUCAAGUUUCAUUUCAAAACAGGCUUUGCAGUUCACUGAGAAAGACAAUAAUAAUGUUUUUAUUCCUCCUGUGUACGGAGGGAAGGCUGCCUUCCAAACCCCGGCUCCUCAGCUCAGCUCAUGACGUCAGAUGGAAGCGUAUUGCACAACGUUUGCAUUCCUCGUCUUCAUCACAGUGUGGUUAUUUCUGUGGGCUGGAUUUGGGAUUUUGGAAGGCUGAUGGUUCUUGGGGUGCCGGGAGGUGGUCCUCCUCAUCUCUGCAAGGGGAAAGCAUCUGCAGCCUGAGCAGUGAGCAGCAGCAGCCCUCCUGCUUGCAGCUGCACCAUGCCCUGCUUGGCUCAGUGCUGAGUACCCGGAGCAGAGGAGCUUCACGUGUCUGCACGUUUGCCAUCCUUCACCCCAGUGCUUUUGGAUUCGGAUUAAAUAAAAGGGGAUGCGUGGUGGUUGGGGCAUUGGCAUCAACCUAUGGAACAGCCGUUGCGGUGCAGGGCUUGGGAAGGAAGCCACCACCUCCUUCAGCUCCUCCCAUUGAUCUGGACUGGGGAAGGCUCAGCUCCCACCCUGUGCUCGGUGUCCCAGUCCCACAGUGACCAUCCUCAGACCCAGCGCCGUCACCAGGAGCGGAGCAUUGCCCUUCACACACCAUUAUUCCUCACUCCCCAGAGCCUUUUUGUCUCUUAUCAGCAGUGACCCCCGGGCUCUGUUAUCUCCCCCCAGCCAUCCACCCAAGCCAUAGAGCUGUCAGCGUGGGGAAUGACCUUCACCUCCUCGCUCACCUCCAGGAGAUGCUGUGUCCGCUCGGCCGGCUGCGUGGUUGGCUGCAGCAGCACUGCCUGCUGCCCGGAGCCAGGCAAAUGGGAGCUGAAGAGCUACAACAGGAGCCUCUGCAGCCCACAUGCCAGCAGCAGAUCUGUUUUCUGACUGACCCAACAGCAGGGCCCUUCUUGGGACUGGCUAAACGUGGUUACUGAUGCCUACUAAGUAGCUUCUUCCAUGUGCUUGGGUGAAUAAAUUACCCUACAGCUUCCAUCAUCUCGAAGGGCUUGAGCGCAUCCUCUGGCACAAGGCUGGCUUGCAGGAGGAGCAGCCACCAAUGGGAAGGAUGGAGUUAAAUUCCAUAGAGGUGUACAGAGCGGAGAUGGGGCAGGCAGCUCUGCAGAUGAAGAUGUCUCACGAGCAGCACGUCGGACCUGAACGCGUGUUUGUGUGGUUCCCCUGCCACCAGCACAACGGGAGCUACACGGCGGCCAGCCAUGCAGAGCCAACAAGAAAAGCCUGCUGAAGAAAGGCACCGGCGCUGACAAUACCCGUUUGCAGGACGGAUUAAGCUUAGAGCAGUGUCUGGGCUUUGUGAAGGGGCAGCUCUGAGCUCCGUGCACGCAGCGUGGUGGCAGGAGGCUACAAAAGCUGGGAUCCCACACAGCCCUAUUGCCAAGCAGUGCUAACCCGGCCCGUGCGAGGCUCAGUCCCCAUCACUGCCAGGACCUGCCACCUCCUGCCCUGCCCUGCCCUCUCCCGGUGCCCUGCCUGUGCCACUUUGCCCCCCUGCUGCUCAACCCUGCUGGAUGCUAAGUGGAAAUCCCCCCCCCCCCCCCCCCCCCCAUGCCAAGUGUUAAAUACUUAUCAAGCUAAUACAGCGUCUUUGUGGAGGUGCGUACAUGAGACAACAUGUUACCAUAAUUAACGAGCAGCUGGAGUUGGCAUCGCGCUGCAGAUGCUGGCGGCGGCUCCCAGCGCCUUUCCCAGGGCUGCAGCUCUGCCCUUCCCCAAUAGUAGGAAAGUGCUGAGUGGGGGGAAUGCCUUGUAGGUCUCUUCCCACCUCGCAGGGGGUGGUGGCGGCUUCCAGCCCGGGGUCUGCAGAGCCGUGGAGGUCUGGGACUGUUUCUGGGUUGGGCAAAUGGGUCUGUUGCCAGCAGGCAAAUGCUUAUACGGGAGGUGAGGAGCUGUUGUGGGGGGCACUGGGUUGGGAGCUGUAAGGAAUCCUGCUGCUGGAGACUCUGGGAGUGAUGGCUUGUCCCUGUGCCAUUGAUGUGGGUGUGGAAUCGCAAGGGCUGGGGCAGCGAUGGCCAGGUGGCACUGGGAUGUGUGUGAUGGGUGUCAGGGACCAAUGGUGGCACCAGUGGUGGAGAAAGCUUGGGAGGAGGGGAGAGGGGCUGGGAUGGGGCUGUGAGCGCAGCCCUGGGGAGGAAGGUGGCAGAGCGGGGUGGUUGGUGGUCAUUUACUUGGUCAGACCUUUUGAGAUGAUGUGGAUCCAUCCCUCUGCUCAGCCCUAAGCAGAGCAGCUGCACAACCCCCCCAUCCUUUUGAAUUGCCUUGAGCUCCCUAACUUUCCAGCCCUGGAGAAGUCAUUGCAGCAGUUGAUGUUUGUAUCAUGACCUACGUUGCUAUUGGGUUUUAAAUAGAUAUAUUUUUACUGUGCUGUAUGCUAGCUUCCCACAUGCAAAUUGCUCUGAGUGAGCCAUUUAUCUGGAAAAUAAAGGUUAUGUUCUCAAAAGGCAUUUAGUUCCUUUCUGAAUGAUUGAGCGAGUUUUCCACCGAGAAAACAAAGGUCUUUAACACAGUCCAAACCGAUGACAGGGAAAAAGGCUCAGGUAAAACCCCUCCAUUUAUUUAAUAGCUCCCCCUUCCUCAUUCAUAUUUACAAGAUAAAAGGGGCUCCAUCAACCCAUUAGAGUUGAAAUACGUGUCCUGUCUUCAAGGAAAGCAAAUCCCAUCUGGCAUCCCUGGAGGAAUAUAACCUUAACUUCAGCUUAAUGCCACAUUAGGGUAUCUAACAGAUCCAGCCGGAGAUUUACCUGCCUUUAAGGGAGAUUUAUUUUGGAAGCAAACAGGCUCAUGUGACAAAAUGCUUUCCAUGAGCACCUCAGGCGAGGAGGAGCGGUUCCCCUGCCGGGGGGUCCGUGCUGUGCCCUGGGCUGGGUGUGGAGCUGGGAGCUGCCCCAGGGCUCGGCUGCUCCCUCCCACCCCACUGCGCAGACCCCAUUCCCUCUGUGCCCGCAGGGCUUGGGGAGAGGCUUUGGGGAAAGGUGGGUCCGGCUUCUGUGGCUCUUGCAUUUGCCUGGGAAAUCAGAGAGUUUUUGCUGUGAAGGUAUUGCUGCCAACACCUCUCUGCAUCCCCACCCCAGCACCGCCCGUUUCCAUCACCACCACCUGAAGAACAAGAACAGAGGGGCAUUUUCUCUCUUUCCCAUGCAACUUAGCCUCGGGGACUCGGUGCUGCAGUCCUAAAAAUGCACCACCAGCUGCAGGAUUGGGGUCCUGCAGAGGCUGCAGAAUUGGGUGACUGCAUCCCAAAUGACACCUCAGCCAUGUGGUUCUCCAGGGCAGCAAAAAUGCUGAUGGCCUGGGGUGGGAAGCACGGCCUGGCUGGGUCUGCUGAGAGGUGUUGGCCAAAGCACCAUAGUGGUGUCUGUGCAGAAAGCGUGUUUCUGUACAGAGCUAGCCUGGAGGUGACGUUUGCAGCAAUAGGUUUAUUGUCAUUUCUGGUUUUAUUGAUAUGAAUAGAAAUGGAUGAGGGUUUUGUAAUUAUUUAAUCAAUCCCAAAUGCGUGAGACUGCUUGGGACUAAAAUACAAGACAUUUCUUGGCGUUCCCUGCUUGCCUAUGCCUAAGGUGGUAGCUGUACUCUUUCCCUCAGACCUGGCUUCUGCUGCAAACAGAAAACCUGGGGGGUUGGUGAGAUGGAACACACACUGUGCCAUGCGGGCCCCUGGGCUUUGGAUGCUCUGCGUCUCCUCCUGGCUCUCGCCAAGCCCCUGGGCUGCAGAAACCCUGGUGUGUGCUGGCAGAGCCUCCCCAGCAGCGCCCUGGGGAGAGGCUGCAGAUGCCGGGGAUUCCUGCAAGCUCCUCUCCUCUCGAGACACCACGCAACAUGUGGGUGGCUGGGCAGGAUGGGGGGCGUGGAGCAUCCCUUGUGGGGAGCCACCUCCAAAGGGCUCUAUGGGAUAAACCCCAACGCAAAGCUGCUGGUGGGUUUGGGAUCAGGGCUGCUGGUGCUGAGGGGCUCCGAGGAUGGGCACAGCUGGUCUGCUGCCCUGCGUUACCAAACUGCAUCUCAUCAGGCUGUUGAUGUACACACUGUUCAGCCUGAGAACGAGAGGGCAAGUCAGCUGCAGGUGGGUGAAACCUAUCUCCUCUGCACUGACCUGGCCUGCCUGACUGGUUUUUUAUGAUUAUUUUUUAUUCUGUCUCCAGUUAGGCAAUACACUUGCCUGUUAGAAAUAUCGCCCUGGGCUGCCAGCUCAGCGAAGGAGAAAAGCGGGUGUGUGUUACCGAGGGAAGAUGGGGGUCACCUCCCUGCCGGGGGGGACACCUCACCCCUUCCCUGCCCUCCUUGGGCUGCUGCACCUGCAAGAACCCCUCCUUGUGCUCUGCUGCUCAUGGGGUGCUUAGAGCUGAGCAUCCUCACGGGGGGAUGCCCUACGGGGAGCUCCCAACGUCCCCUCCGCAGCUCCUACACCCCCAGGGUCGCCGGGCUGCAGUGGAUGGAUUUCAGCCCAGCUGGCAGUUUGGGAUCGUUAACCAUGAAGGUGCCCCUGGGAAGAAGCGAAAAAGGUAUUUGGGAAAAUUUGCUAACAGACUCUAAUGACUUAAUAAUCCCUGCCGGAGAGAGCGCGGCAGGUUAUGUGAAUGUCAAGUUUGUUUGCUUUGCCGAGAGCCGGCUGCUGUUAGGUAAUCAGAGGGUGUGACCUCCUUCGUGGGGAAAAGGCAAGGGAAGGAAAGCAUGUGCCUGCUGCCCUGCCGGAGGUGAGCAGCAGAGAUGGGCACAGAGCGGCCCUGGCAGCCCCACUGCUGCGCUGGGGAGAGCAAAGCCCAGGGGCUGCCCUGCUCUGCACGUUGGGAGCAUGCUGUAGGGCUGGGUGGUGGGGGUGGGAUUCAGCAGGGAAAGCAACCAGGAGCUCGAGGGAGGGGUUUUGAGAGCAUGUUUGUGCUGCACUGGUAUGAACUGCCCAGGGAGUGUUGCUGGGUGGGCACAGGGUGGAUGUGUGUGCCCGAGUGAGCUGUUGCACAGCACAAGCCCGUCUUGGCCAAGCCUGCACCUCAGCCUGCCCAGAUGGGGAACACUGUCCCAUUUUGGGGAUGCCAUUGGGAAUCAUAGGAUCACAGAACGGCUUGGGUUGGGAAGGACCUGAAAUAUCUUCCUGCUCCAACCCCCCUGCUGUGGACAGGGGUGCCACACAGCAGAUCAAGUUGCCCAGGGCCCAUCCAACCUGGCUUUGGACACCUCCAGGGAUGGGGCAUCCACAACUCCUCUAGGCAGCAGCAUCGACUGAGCAAAGUGUGGGGUUUGCUGAACGCUGGGACCUUUCCUUGUCGGUAAAGGAAAGUCAGGACAGGACUCUAAGCAUACUUUGCGUUAUCUGCCAUGACCCGUGGCAUCGGGACAGGCUGCCCCACACCCAAUGGGACGAGACAUCUCACUCUAGAAGCCGAAAGCGGGCAGGUGGGGGCUGACACCCCCCCACCGCUGGGUCCAGUGGGAAGGGGAGCGCAUGACUGCAAGCACCGGAGCUCCUGGAGCACAGGUUGCCACCUCGCAGCUGCUCUCAAGCCCCAGCUUGCCUGCCUCGAUGCUGUUUGAACAGGAGCCUUCGCAGACGUAGCUCUAGGCCAAGUUGUGGGGCAGCCGGGAGGGAACCGCCUGGCUCCAGACCCCGCUGCGGGAGGUCCGGGCGCGUGGGCACCGAAAUACCGCGUGCCAACCGCAGCUCUGCCCCGGGGCCACAACACCUGUGGCCACUUUGAACCCCAACCACAGCCCCGAGGUGCCAGCAGGAUAUGUGGGAGCGCCGGGGUUCGGCUUACAGCCGUUUUUAUGGCCGUUCCUUCGAAUUCUGGGGGCAGGUUGCAUUUCCCAGCAGACGCACAUCCUCACUAAUAGCAGCUUGCAGUCCUCCUCGCAAAAAAAACCCCACAACUGCAUUGUGAGGCUGAGUCCUCUGCCAUCUCCCCUUGCUCUGCCUGCUUUCCCAGGGCUGCCACGCUACAGGGCGCUUGGGGAGGAUGGCGAUGUGCGCAGUGCACAGCACCCAGCAUCCUGCAGGGAUGCCCUGGAUGCCAUUGCAGCAGGCAGCUCCAGAGAGCAUGACACACACUGCAAAAAGACUUAAAAAAAAACCAGACAGACACAAAAAAAGAAAAAAGGAAAAGGCUUCUGAGGCUUAGUGUUGGAUAUUUAUACACUUGACAUAAAGGAUAUUUCUGCAUUGAAGUAAUAAGCGUGACUCAGUAAACCAAUGGGGAAAGGGUGUUCCCUUUGCAGCAAAACCUCAAAAGAUCAAAGAACUUCUUGAGCGGUUUAACAUUUUGAAUGUUAGAUGAAUUGGUUUCCCCUCCCUCUCCCCCUCAUGCUUGCCUUAAAGUUUUGGAAAAGAAAAUGGUUGGAUUUUAGCUGGGAAGGGAUCGCUUUGAGAGCUCGGGGGAUGCGUGGUUCUGAAACAGCACAGCCACAGGCCCAGGGGAUGGCAGCCCUGGAUGGGGACGUGGCUUAAUGGAAAGUGGCUUUUCCCUCCCUGUCACCUUCCAGACCUGCUCCCGCUAUGGAUGGAUGCAGGCAGCCCUCACCAGAGGGAUGUCCCAACACACCACGUCCCCACACUGUGCCCACUGCUGGUCUUCAGGCAGAGCUGAGCAUCACCAGCUUCCAGCAGCUCCUUCCUGUGGGAGAAGCAAAUCCUGCUAUUGUUGUUCUUGCGUGAGAUGUAAGGGGACAGCCCUGUCCUCUGCCUGCAGCAAGCAGCGGGGGCUGGCGUGUACUCACCAGGGAAGGACAGAGCUGUGUCAGUGGACACAUGUGCCUUUGUGGGAUCGAUAGGCUGGAGUAAUAUAUCGCACCGAGAUAACAAAUCACUUAGCUUAUUGGGUCUUAAUUAAGCCUCUUUUAUCUCCGUGACAGCCACACACCUGGGCUAUCACCCCGACGAACGGCGGCUGAGCAGAGGGGGACGCAGUGCAGGAGAGCGGGGAUUGAUGAGCUGCACUGGGUGGAAUUGCCUCAUUGUGCUGCAGCACUCAGGGCCAUCCAUCUCCCACUCCCCACACCAGUCCUGGGCCGGGACCCCCCACUGCAGCCCCCUCCUCCUGGCGCCGUGCAGGCAGGGCACGGGGGGUAGGGGACACCCAAUGGCGUUAGCCAGGCGCAGGGCGACGAGCUCAGGGCUCAGGGCUGCCCCGUUAGCCCCCCUGGGUAAUAGAUACAGUUGUUAUAGUCCCUGACAGCGUGAAAUGAAGACCUACAUCACCAUAAUGUAUUGUCAGGCUGUGAGCACACUGCGGCCCCUGAGAUGAAUGAAUGCAAUAUCUCUGCGUGCGAGGGGGAAGGCGGGGACGGGGGCUCUGCUGCGCUGCUGCCCUCUGGGCGCUUUGUGCGGCGACAGAAAAAGGCAUUUUUUAUGGGUGAUGCAGAGGCUGAGGGUGUCCGGUCCCUGCAGAGCUGCUGACAGGUCCAGCCCACGAAGGGCAGCGCGUAACAAAUGACUGAAGCGCUGCCGGGAUGAGUUCAGCCUGCAAUGAAGUCAUCGCGCCCUGCCUUGCUGCCAGCUGGGGCUGCGGGGCAAUUGAUGGCGUUGGGGCAAGAGGGAUCAGUGCAUGGUACAGCUCCUGUGAGCUGAGAGCAAAGGGAACCUUCCAAAGCAGGGAGACUGGGAACGUGCGUUCGUGACAAUGGGAAUCCGAGGCACGUAUCGCAUUAUUGGAAAGUAGGACAGUUCUCACUCUGAAGUACGACUGCUGAUGUAGUGACUUGGAGUGGAAUAAUGAGAGCUGGGAGUUGUGAGUGACUUACAGCCGAGCAGCCAAGUCCUGCAGGACACCUCCGUCUCCUGCUUUAGGAUGAUGCUUAAAUCCUUCCCCACCACGGGCUGUUGCUGGGGCUCAGCCUUUCCUCUCUGCUAACCCCAGGGCAGGCUGGCAGCAGCAAAACUGAUUGGGAGCUGGGGAGAUAUUCCUGAGCACAGGUCUGAGCAUGGCCGCAGGUUUAUUUCAGGCAAAGGUUGCUUAGGAUUUCUCCCUUUCCCUCUGUUUGAGAUGGCAUUGUCCAUACCCAGCCUAUGGCAGUGACCAUACCCAGCCUCUCCUAAUGGCUUUUGAUUCUUGCAUAGUGUUGUGCUGUUCUUGCUGCUGCACGGCAGGUACUGCGUGUAUGCAAACACUCCUUUAAAACAAUAAAAUAAGGGUCUGGGCUGAAAGACAAGCAGCUCGUAAUUCAGCAUUGCAUUAAACAAAGUCCAAAGUACUCACAUUACACAAAAUCCAACCGAAGGGCAACACCCUUCCAGUGAUCCUGCAUUUUCACGACUGUUUGCAGGUUCUAGGAUGAACACGAAGCAGUCGACAUAGGAAUGGCCAAUCCCCAUAAGCUGUCGAUGAGACUUUCCUCUCCAGACCAGCUCAGCUGGACGCAUGGUAUUGUCAAGGUCAUUCCCAACGCGUGAUGGACCUAUUUGCUGAUGCUUGUGACAUUUCCCAUCAGGCAGGACAGGAUUCCCCUCCAUGUCAUAAGGUUUGGGGCUGGACGUGCCCAGCAGCUUCCUUCCCUUUGCCCAAACCCUCAGCUCGAAUCACAGAGUCAUUCUGCUUGGAAAAGCCCUCUCAGAUCCCCGACACCAUGCCCACUGUGCCACCUCUCCAGGUGUUCUGGAACACCUCCAGGGAUGGGGACACCACCACUGCCUGGGCAGCUGUGCCACUGCAGCACUGCUCUUUCAGAGAGGAAUUUUCUCCUAAUCCCCAACCCGAAAUACUUCCCAGCCCCACACCCCUCCCAGCCAGCCACCCCUGGGUGUUCUUAUUGCAGUAAGCACCGCGCGCUGACUUUGGCAUCUCCCUCAAGCACUCGUGCUGCACGCAGCUCUGCUCCUACUCUUGGCCAUUAUUGCUGCUUGGAGGUUUUUCCCUCUGAGGUUGGGUCCUCCCUCGUGCUGCCGCUCACAGCCUGUCCCCAUUGGUGAUAUACGAUGCCCCUGUAAUCUCCAGCGACAUAAAUUUCUCUCCUGUUUGUCUCCCUGUGUCCUAUCCUUCUCGCCCCGUGCCUGUUAUUGUGUCUAGCUUUGCGGCUGCGUUUCAGCGUUUUCCCUUGUUUGUCUCCUUCACCUGAGGAUGUCCAUUAUGGGAUGUAACAGCUUUAAUAGCUUACAAAUGGGAGGCUGGAGAUUUUGUGCUUCAGGGAGCAGCGCUCACAGCAGUCACCACUAACAGCGGCGUUUCCCAUUGCUGUGUAUCUCAGCUGCUUUCUUCCCUCCUUAUUUUAAGUCCAGGGACAAAUGGCUCGUAAAGCCGCCGGUCCAAUUCGUACUGCUGGUAGGUGGAGCUGGGUGAGAGAGUCGUCCCCGUCCCCCUCUAUUCUGACCCACACAUAGAGACGUCCCUCAUUGCUCUGCUCCCACUCUGAGCCCCAAUACCAGCGGCACCCUGGGAUGCAUUGGUGUGUCUGGAGCCAAAUCCCAGCAUCUGGCAGCAGUAGUUGGGCAUCCUCAUCCUCACCUCUCCAAAAGCAAAGCGCCAUGCGACCAGGAUCUAAUUAAGCAGGCUAAUCUGAAGGAGGUACUACAUCUCCAUGGAAAACUGCUUCAGUUUGGCUUCUCCGGAUAAUAAACAAAGCACUUGGGCAGAUGAUAGGGCAUUUAAGUGUUUACUCUUCAGAGCAUUAAGUGCUAAAUUUGUUUUCAGCUCACUUAUGAAGAACCCUCACCGAGCAAAGCACACAAGGGGCUCAGUUGUACCUUCAGCUCCGCUCUGAGCCUCCUGCAAGGAGCCUGGUCCAUGGGCUGCCCAGUGGGAAGCAGCAGCCAUUGGCAGCACAGGGGCUGAAUCUGCACUAUGGGAAUGCUGCUGGGGCAGAGAGGCGCUGGGAUGGAGCAGCAUCUUCCCAACCCCAUGCAGAACGCCGUGGGCUGUGCUGAGCACAUCUGGCCACCGCUGCCACAUAGGGGAGGUUUCAUCCAGGGCCAUAGAAACGGAGCACAAAACCAACAAAACAACUCUGUUUCUAAAGCUCUAUGAAGUUUGCACCCCACCAUGCCGGGACAAAGGGGGAAUUAGCAGCCAGCAAAGAGAAAAGCAACACAAAGCCACACCGCGGUGUCAAGAAGCCAAAAAGCCCUUUUCCUUCCCAGUGUGCGGGUAUGGCUUGAGGGACUGUUCACAACCCCGAGCCCAACGUGGGUCAGCUUUGCAGCUCUUUGCAUCUGCAUGUGCUUGAGCCGAGCUUUCCCUGCUGCUGCGAUUUAUAAACCAGCUCUGACCCAUCAAAACCAACGCAGAAUGACUCAGAAGUUUGCAGACAGCCAUCAAAAAGGGGACGGAGGGGUGCACCCGGAUCUGCCAGCAGCAGCCUCCUUUAAAUCAACCUUUCUCAGGAAGAGUGCUGUGGUUCAGGCCCCAGUUUGGGAUGUGUCUGAGCAUGCUUCCCAUCCACAUCAUGGAUUCAAUUACAACACAACGCUUUGCAGAUUUCUGUUAAAUUUUAACUCGUUUCACAUGGGUUGUAUGAACUUUGCCUGACAUUUGGAAGCAGGCAACUUGUGUCAUCAGGUUACACUCACACUUAUCUCUGCAAACAUAUCCUUGUACCCAAACCAGCACCAGCACAACCGUCUUCGCCGUGGCUGGCAUUAAUUGAACCUGAAAUGUUCUUUCCUCCGGCGUUGUGCUCCCUCCUGCUCACAGAGCCAUGUGUGUGACCCCAUCCCCUGCUCCACAAACGCAGCUGCAGCAAAUGGAGUGGCCACGGAGAUGAGGGCAGCGGGCGAUGCUGAGCCAGCAUCUCGCUGUGGGUUUUCAGAGAAGGGCGAUGCCAUAAAAAAGGGGCAGACUUUGAGAUGGCUCUGCCCAUCCCCAGCCCCUAAGUUGCAGGGAUGAGCCUGCAGUGUGUACUGCUGAUGGCCCAAACCCCAUCUCCUGGGGGAACCUCCUGUCCCCAAAGCUUGGCUGGUGACCUGCCAGGCAGCCAUGCCCUGCUCACCUCCGUUGCAUCGAGCCAUGCAAACCCAUCUCUGGCCAUCUGAUGGCUGAAACUCAGGUGUGAUCAAAGCCCGGCCCCUCUGCUGUGUUGGGGUUCAGCAGGGGAGGGGGAAACAUUAAAAUCCUGACAUCACUCAGUGGCCGGCUCUGCCUUCAGCUGCACGAAGUGGCCGGCUCUGCUGAUCAAAGGCCUCGCCACUGUUGUUUUAAAGGUGACAUUAACAUUUAAGGAGCUUUUGAAAGUCCUGGCUGGCAAUAAAAAGCCAGACACUCAGUCACAGAGCAACUCAAACGCAGGUUUAAUGAUAAUGAAGCAGCCUUUUGUUCUUAAGCUCAAAGAAGGACCACAAACCUAUUUAUAGUGUUUAUAAUAAAGACUGUGAAACCUUUGGCACAUAAUCCAGCAAACCGAUACUUGCAAGCCUCAGUGCUACUCAGUGAUCCCCAGAGUGUGCAGAACAGGCUUUUGAGAACACUUUUCCCCCUUUCCACCACUCUUUGUUCCAAUGAAGGCAUGAUGUGGACGCUUCUGUGUGCUUGCAAGCCCUGGUUUCAUAAAGUGUGUCCCCAUGGCACGGCACAGCAUGGGACAUCAUAGCAUGGCAUGGCAUGGCAUGGCAUGGCAUGGAACUGCAUGACACGGCACAGUAUGGCACAUGACCCAUCCUGCUUCCCAUCGUGGCUGCACAGUGCAGAGUGGGGCAGCAGAGGGGGAAGCCAUGCAGGCAAUGCUGGGCUCAGUGCACCACAAGCAGCCCCAUACCGACACUGGGUUAUAAAUAGCCUGGAAAUGAGAGCUGGGCAGGUCGGAGCCAUGGCUGAGUAAGAGAAUCCCCUGCUCCCCACAUGGCUCCUGGCUGCAUUGUCUCUUACCACGAAGCCCUUUGCUCCACGGCUCCCAGCCCUGUGCUGUGUGUUGCCUUGCAGCCCCAAGGAAAGCGAUUCCACGCGCCUUCCUUAAAGCAUGCAGUUGGAAAUGCCAUGCAAGUUCCCUCACUCCUCCUCACCCUCCUAGAUGUGGCAAUUAGCACUGAGUCCUCAUUCCAUUCAUUGAGUGCUGGGCAGGGUCAGCAGUCCCAGCAGAAGACGGUAGGGAGGGCAAAUAUCCUACAUCUUCUCCAACCCCUGCUGCCCAUGGCAGAGCCAGAGCAUGGAUUCACUGCCUGCCUUUCAUAGUAGCAGCCGGGAUGAACACCUCUGUGCACAGGCAGUGGUGGAGACCCAUCCUUGGAGGUGUCCCAGCACCAUGGAGAUGCGACCCUGAGGGACGUGGUCAGUGGGCAUGGUGGGAUGGGCCGGGCUUGGAGAUGAGAGGGAGCUUUUCCAACCUUCAUCAUCCUGUGAUUUUCCAGAGAUGCUCCCAGCCCCAGUUUGGCCACUGCCUCUUUCCCCUGCUCAGCUCACAGCACGGUGGGCGCUACUGGGGAGCUCAAGUGAGGGCUAUGGGGGUCCCUUUGUUUCCUAAGGGCACAAGUGGCCAAAGGAGUCAGUGAUGGGAAUGCACGGGGUGGGGGAGGCAGGCGACGGGAGAGCUUGCGGCUGGAUGUGACCCAGACCAGGGAACAGAUGCAACUCAUAACGUUAAUGAGGUUUUUUUUUCUUCCUCCCCAAAGGCGCUGCACUCCUGAGAACCGGGGGCUCUCUAUCCCAUGGCAACACCAAGCGGGGGAAAAAUGGGCCUGGCUUUUAUUUCAUUUUUUUGUCCUUUACAGGAAUCGCAGGCAAACAAAAGCCCUGAACAGAUUUAUCAUUUUUCUUUCUCCCCCACCCCCUCCUUUUCUUUCCUUUUAUAUUUUUUUAAAAUAGGGUUAGAGCAAGAUGGAUGGUUCCCCAGGCCCAUGGAAUGAGCAGAUAGAGGCAGCCCUGUCGACUCUGGCAUCCCAUUAAGCCAAGCUGCGGGAGGAGGCCGCCGUCGGACUUAUUACAUUUGCCCCCACCCGGACCCCAAACAUCAGCCCCAGUGUGGGGUGCCCCCGGCUCGGCUGCCCGUGCCCCACAUUGCCGGGUGCCACCCGCACCUCUACCCUAUCCAUCCCCCACAUCAGCAUGGGAAUCGCCUCUUGCAUCCCUCAGUGUCAGCCCACACCGAUUUGUCACUGAUAGGUGACAAGCACUGUGUGGCUCAGUGUGGCUCCGGGUAAGGGCAGCCGGGGGGGGGGGAGCUCAGACAGCCCCCAACCCACCGCUGACCAGGGCUGCUGUGCCUGGUGAAACAGCAGUGAGGAAGGGGGGAAAAACAAGGCAAAAAUAGAAGGAAAAAUGAUGGGAUGAAAAAAAUGAAACAAACCCCAUCGUGUUCAGGAGCCCAAGAACCACGCAGCCCCAUGGGGGGGUCGGCAGUGGUGACAGGGGCACCCGGCUGCCCCAUCUCCACCGCCCGCUUCCUUCGCACGGAUAUUUCCACUUUAAUACUUAACAAGGAUUUAAAACCCUUCUGCAGCCGGAGUUUGUUGGCAGCGAUAAAUUUUGAAUAGCUUAUAAAUAAUGGAGGCAAGGUGGUGCCUCCGGCUGGGAGAAGGGGUGAGGCCCCACCUGCCAUCAGGAGAGGGUGAGGAGCAGCCCUGGUGCAUACCGCUCGGUGACGAUGGCAUCACAGUGCACAGCCCAGCAUGGCCAGGCUGCUUCACACCUCCUGAUAGGGAUGAGCCAGCAUGCAAGUAUCAUGGGAUGGAAUUAUGGAUGGACGGAGAAAUGCAUGCAGUCCCUUUCUAUAUAUAUGUGUGCGGAUGCACGUACAGAGAGACAAAUAUAUAGAGCUGUGCACAGCCACAAGCAUGCGUGCUUGCAUGCAUCUCUAUGGGUCAAAUUGCCCACCUCCCCUUGACCUCCCCUCCAUGCCUUGCUCCCAUCGAACCCAUAUCCCACCCCAUGUGCUGCAGAUGCAACAGGCAGCAGCUCCUGCAGGGCACCUCACACACUGCUCCACACUUUGGGGCCAGGAGGGGAUUUGGGAAGAGGGCUGGAAGGGAUGAUUUCAUCCCCAUGAGAACUGGAGAGCGUUUCUGUGCACGGCAGGGGUGGAUGCAAUGUCUGCUCCCUGCUUUUCCCUGGCACUUUGUAGCAAGUCAGUAAUUAGGUUAUAGCACCGCUCUGGCUUAAUUUCUACGCACCAACGUCCAAUAAAUGUGUAUGGAGUUUGUAUGUGUGCCUGUAGUAUAUAAAAGCUAUAGGAAAAUGGCCAGACUUCACUACAUUAAUUCAUAAAGCAGGUCAUUCUUGUCUGGCCCUUUACCUCACUUGUUAUUUCUAUUUAUUAGUAAUAUUGAUGUUUCAACCAGGGAUCAGGACCCCAUUGAGCCAGCUUUAAUAACAGAAAAGAUUUAGCAGGAGAGAGCCCUGUAAUGAACCAAUAAUCACAACAGCGGCGCUCACGUAGUGCAGCUCACAAACAGCAUUGUUAUUUGUACAGUGUUUUAUUUGCUAUUUCACUUUUGCAGCGAGCCCAGCAUCUCCCACUGCACCAGUUUGGCCAUGCCAAGGCUUUGUUGAGGGUGAAAAUGGAAUGAAUGAGUGUUGGCUUCGGAGGGCCAUCAGCGUGGGCUGGUACCCAUGGUAACCGCUUGGGAGCCGUACAAAGCCCAGGACCACAUCUAAACCAACUUCAGCUUCGUCGCCUGCUGAGACAUUGAACACGAGCCAGUCCUCAGCUCUGAGCCAAGAUACACUUAGGGAGGGUUUGUCUGGCAAGAACCUCUGGAACUAUUGAUCCGUGAGAAAAAGUGAUCAAGGGAAGUACAGCUGUCCUGGUUAUUGCCUCACCAUGCUCUCUACCAGCUGCAAAACUUCACCAGCAGAGACAACGAGAGAAGAGCUGCGCAGCAUCCUUCCUUCAUGCAAACUCUGCUCUGUGUCUGAAAGCCCAGCGCAGAGCUGGAGCUGCUGCAGCACCGGGGAUGGUGCACGGUGGGGAGAACCGGGGAGCAAACAUCGUCUGAACAGGGACAAAGGCAUUAUAAAUGAGUGCUGCCGGAUCUCCUGUCAGCCAGGGUGGUGUUACCUCUGCAUUUAUACUUCAGUAAUUUCUGCAUUUCUCUAAUUUCUUAAAUUGCCUGUAAGAUGAUAAUAUUUCCUAGAACAUGGUGAAUAGAUUAACUGCACGCUACGGCGCUAUCCAAAACUGCUUCGAGCAGCAUUAAAACCAGAUGUUCCCAAAGAGCCAAGGGAAAAUGUUACCUGCGCUGCUCACCAGCCAAGGGGCGAACUGCCUGUGCCUUACGUAGCAAUGCUGCUUUUCCUGGGAUCAUGGAAAACCAGCAACACGAGGCAUCUCCACGCCACAGCUCUGGCAACGUGUGCUCCACCACAUGCCCUUGCUUCCCACGCUGCCUGCUGCCAUCCGUGGCUGCGGGGCACAGGGACGGCAUGGCCAGGAGCAGCAGCCUGACCUACUUCAGUGCAGUGCAAUGGCCUCUCUGCCACGCAUCCUCGCACAGACACGAAGCACAGUUUGAGGGCAGCGGACCCGCAUGGGGUGGGAUGCUGUCCCAGCCUCCACCAGCUAGCAUUGCUCCGGCUGCCUCCGAGCGCUCUCACCGCUGCGUAUCAACUCACAGGCUCCAUUAACAAAUCAAAUUGCCACUGAUGUGCUUCUCAUUACAUCUCGGGGCUUACGCGUCGUUAUUUCAUUUAAAAGACGGCAUUUGUUUUCCCUUCCCUGAUUCCACGUCCCCAAAAUCUCAUUAGGAGAUCGCUGCUCAUUAUGAAGUGCUGCUCAGUGUAACGUGCUGGGGGUGCAGGACUCAGCAAAGGGCCCCACAUGGAGGUGGGGGGGGGGGGGGGGAGAGGGUAAUGAAGAGCCAUUGAAUGAGGAGUGCCGAGGCUUAAUUUGGGAGGAGAGGAGCGGACUGUGGAUGCUGACAGCACCGCAAUGCGAAUCCCCCUUGGAGCACCCAAAGAAUCGGCCUAAAUGGAUUAAUGUGAGGACAGAGAAGAAAUGACUUCAGUUGUUUCCCUGAUUCAAUUCCGUUUAUUUUUAUACGGCGUCUUCAUGCAAAGCAUCUCCCAGCUGCUUCAUCCAGAAGAGGGAUAACAGAGGAUCACCGCGCUGGCUCAGCUCUCACCAGUGCUGGCAUUGCAGUGGGAGGGAGGAACACAAGCGCUGGCCUUGAGGAUUUGACGUCCCAAAUCAUCAGGAGAUCAUAUGCCAUUUUUUUCUCUUCUUUUUCCAGUUCCAAUAUUGGUAAUUUCCCUAGGCUUUCCUCAAAGCAUCGCUGCAAUAUACUCGGGCUGAUUCUAAUCUCACGCUGCUUUUAUAGCACUGUAAUUCCGAUCUCACACUGGUUUUAUACUGGUGCAGCCCCACUUAUUUCAACUGAGUAAAUUCCUGAUUUAUGUCAGUGCAAACGACGGCAGAAAUGGGCCCGCAGCUCUCCCUGGAGCAACGCCUGGCUCCCACCAGGGUGAGGAAGAGGAAGAUCAGCUCGUUUGCAAUGCAAAUGGUGUAGAAAACUGCUGCCACAUUACACCCAGACCCUCACUUUGCGAUGCGCUUUUGCUCUCUUCUAUGAAAUGCACUUUGUUGCAUUUUGGAAACCCACAGGAGGUCACUGAGAAGCGACGUGUGGCUCUGCUGGGUGUCCGUGGGGACCGACCCGUUUAUUGCCUUCGCCCUUCUCUCUUCCUCAGCCCCACCACCACUCUGUUGCUGUUUCAAGGACGUUUCGUUGCCUUAAUUUACUCUCUGUGAUGUGAAGGGAUGCAGUGACUUAUCCUGAUACCCAUCCCAGAGGCUGCACCUCAGCAGUGCAGUGUUGGUGUUGGUUAAUAAGCCCCUUGCAGACCAAAGCAAGACUGUGACUGCUGCAUCCACCUGGGCAAGCUGCGUCCUCUCUUGCUUAUGCUAAGGGAGGAAAAAUAGGGGCUGUUGUAACUAAUGGCUGUGGGGUGGAGUGAUUUUCCCCUUCCGUUUGCUCUCAGGAAAGAACAGGACGGAACUGGGAGAGGAAGGCAGGCUGAAAAGGGGGAUGGAUAAGGACCUUGGUUGGUUGUCUCUGCUUGGGUGCUGGUCCCUCACAAUGGGGGGGUCCCUGAGCUCCCACCCAUUGCUGUGCCCUGAGGAGCACUGCUGCAGUGCCAUACCCACCCAUUGUGCACCUAUGUGAUGCUCAGACAGCAAGAAGGUGAGGGUUGCUGGUAUCACCUCUCCUAUGGGGCUGUGCAAACUCAUACUCACUGAUGCCCCUCUGCCAUUGCAAAGUGGGAAACAACCUUGUGCAGCCACUGGACAAAGUCUUCCCUUCACACCCAGCCUGGCAGCACUGAGCCCUGCUCCAUGGAGAGGAGCAAACCCUGAUCCCACAGCCCAGCAGAGCCCCCCCAGCCUAGCAGUCAGACCCACAAGCUGACAUCAGCAGAACGAAGCAUGGCCCCAGCAGUAAUCUGAUAGAACCCAAUGGCAGUUUGGGUUGGGGGGGGGGGGGGAGGGGAGGGGAGGCACUGAAAGAAGAGGCACUGAAAGUACACUUCCUUCAGUGCAUUGCUGGGGAGACCAUUAGGAAAACCACUAGAUUAUUUUUCACAUUCUUCAGCGCAAAACUACUGCGUUUUAUGACCACUAUCAAUAACAGCUAUCAUAUUACUAAUGCUACAGUUGCCACAUAUAUAAUAUUUAAAUCACAUUUGUGGCUGACAGAGACCUAUGGAUAUUCUCGAUCCCAACAGGCUAUUACAGUUCAUAUCGUGUCUGUCAUAUAAAUAUUAUGAAUCAUUUCCCACUAUCUUUAUGGGGGCUACAUUGACAUCGUCGAAAAGGCUCUGGGCUGGAUACUGGCUGCAUAUUUAUACACACCUUAUGUAUAUGUAUGUGAAUGGAGGGAGAUUUAUUCAACAAUCACCAGUAAUAAAUGCCUAUGAUAAACCAUA
This is a long non-coding RNA of Gallus gallus (chicken), 21797 nucleotides long. RefSeq lists it as uncharacterized. Lineage: Eukaryota; Metazoa; Chordata; Aves; Galliformes; Phasianidae. The record is from RefSeq and is a predicted model, not a curated record. The transcript is spliced from 11 exons.